RNAcentral lists this ribosomal RNA (464 nucleotides) under uncultured bacterium. RNAcentral describes it as "partial 16S ribosomal RNA". It matches the Rfam family "Bacterial small subunit ribosomal RNA", at positions 339 to 795 of the family's 1533-position model. The record is from RNAcentral.
CUACGGGUGGCUGCAGUGGGGAAUUUUGGACAAUGGGCGAAAGCCUGAUCCAGCCACUCCGCGUGCAGGAUGAAGGCCCUCGGGUUGUAAACUGCUUUUGUACAGAACGAAAAGGUUUCUACUAAUACUAGGAGCUCAUGACGGUACUGUAAGAAUAAGCACCGGCUAACUACGUGCCAGCAGCCGCGGUAAUACGUAGGGUGCAAGAGUUAAUCGGAAUUACUGGGCGUAAAGCGUGCGCAGGCGGUUAUAUAAGUCAGAUGUGAAAUCCCCGGGCUCAACCUGGGAACUGCAUUUGAGACUGUAUAGCUAGAGUACGGUAGAGGGGGAUGGAAUUCCGCGUGUAGCAGUGAAAUGCGUAGAUAUGCGGAGGAACACCGAUGGCGAAGGCAAUCCCCUGGACCUGUACUGACGCUCAUGCACGAAAGCGUGGGGAGCAAACAGGAUUAGAUACCCGCGUAGUC